UCCAGGUCCCGGGGGGCUUCGGCCCGCCAACCCCGCCAGGGCCGAAAGGCAGCAACGGUACGUGACGUCGUCGUCGCCUCGUCAGACCUGGAACA
RNAcentral lists this signal recognition particle RNA (95 nucleotides) under Gemmatimonas sp. RNAcentral's name for it is "signal recognition particle sRNA small type". It matches the Rfam family "Bacterial small signal recognition particle RNA". From Rfam's summary of the family: The signal recognition particle (SRP) is a universally conserved ribonucleoprotein involved in the co-translational targeting of proteins to membranes. The record is from RNAcentral. RNAcentral also lists the same sequence under 2 other names. Lineage: Bacteria; Pseudomonadati; Gemmatimonadota; Gemmatimonadia; Gemmatimonadales; Gemmatimonadaceae.